CCCUGGCUCAGAUUGAACGCUGGCGGCAGGCCUAACACAUGCAAGUCGAGCGGAUGACAGGAGCUUGCUCCUGAAUUCAGCGGCGGACGGGUGAGUAAUGCCUAGGAAUCUGCCUGGUAGUGGGGGACAACGUUUCGAAAGGAACGCUAAUACCGCAUACGUCCUACGGGAGAAAGCAGGGGACCUUCGGGCCUUGCGCUAUCAGAUGAGCCUAGGUCGGAUUAGCUAGUUGGUGAGGUAAUGGCUCACCAAGGCGACGAUCCGUAACUGGUCUGAGAGGAUGAUCAGUCACACUGGAACUGAGACACGGUCCAGACUCCUACGGGAGGCAGCAGUGGGGAAUAUUGGACAAUGGGCGAAAGCCUGAUCCAGCCAUGCCGCGUGUGUGAAGAAGGUCUUCGGAUUGUAAAGCACUUUAAGUUGGGAGGAAGGGCAGUAACUUAAUACGUUGCUGUCUUGACGUUACCGACAGAAUAAGCAC
Molecule: ribosomal RNA, 481 nt
Filed under: Pseudomonas sp. CL4.103
Lineage: Bacteria; Pseudomonadati; Pseudomonadota; Gammaproteobacteria; Pseudomonadales; Pseudomonadaceae
Also listed under: 1 other name
Description: bacterial SSU rRNA
Rfam family: Bacterial small subunit ribosomal RNA
Source: RNAcentral